GCAUAUCAAUAAGCGGAGGAAAAGAAACCAACAGGGAUUGCCUUAGUAGCGGCGAGUGAAGCGGCAAAAGCUCAAAUUUGAAAUCUGGUACUUUCAGUGCCCGAGUUGUAAUUUGAAGAAGGUAUCUUUGGGCCUGGCUCUUGUCUAUGUUCCUUGGAACAGGACGUCACAGAGGGUGAGAAUCCCGUGCGAUGAGAUGCUCCAGGUCUAUGUAAAGUUCCUUCGAAGAGUCGAGUUGUUUGGGAAUGCAGCUCUAAGUGGGUGGUAAAUUCCAUCUAAAGCUAAAUAUUGGCGAGAGACCGAUAGCGAACAAGUACAGUGAUGGAAAGAUGAAAAGAACUUUGAAAAGAGAGUGAAAAAGUACGUGAAAUUGUUGAAAGGGAAGGGCUUGAGAUCAGACUUGGUAUUUUGUAUGUUAUUCUCUCGGGGAUGGCCUCUACAGUUUAUCGGGCCAGCAUCGGUUUGAACGGUAGGAUAAUGGCAAAGAAAUGUGGCUUCAUUCGUGUUGUGUUAUAGUCUUUGUUGAUACUGCCAGUUUAGACCGAGGACUGCGAUUUUAUCUAGGAUGUUGGCAUAAUGAUCUUAAGUCGCCCGUCUUGAAACACGGACCAAGGAGUCUAACGUCUAUGCGAGUGUUUGGGUGUAAAACCCGUACGCGUAAUGAAAGUGAACGUAGGUAGGACCUCUUUUUGAGUGCACUAUCGACCGAUCCUGAUGUCUUCGGAUGGAUUUGAGUAUGAGCAUAGCUGUUGGGACCCGAAAGAUGGUGAACUAUGCCUGAAUAGGGUGAAGCCAGAGGAAACUCUGGUGGAGGCUCGUAGCGGUUCUGACGUGCAAAUCGAUCGUCGAAUUUUGGGUAUAGGGGCGAAAGACUAA
RNAcentral lists this ribosomal RNA (876 nucleotides) under Pichia phayaonensis. RNAcentral describes it as "LSU rRNA". It matches the Rfam family "Eukaryotic large subunit ribosomal RNA", at positions 38 to 934 of the family's 3401-position model. The record is from RNAcentral. Lineage: Eukaryota; Fungi; Ascomycota; Pichiomycetes; Pichiales; Pichiaceae.